RNAcentral lists this ribosomal RNA (255 nucleotides) under uncultured prokaryote. RNAcentral's name for it is "partial 16S ribosomal RNA". It matches the Rfam family "Bacterial small subunit ribosomal RNA", at positions 523 to 777 of the family's 1533-position model. The record is from RNAcentral.
AUACGUAGGGUGCGAGCGUUGUCCGGAAUUAUUGGGCGUAAAGAGCUCGUAGGCGGUUUGUCACGUCGGAUGUGAAAUCCCGGGGCUCAACUCCGGGUCUGCAUUCGAUACGGGCUGACUAGAGUUCGGUAGGGGAGACUGGAAUUCCUGGUGUAGCGGUGAAAUGCGCAGAUAUCAGGAGGAACACCGGUGGCGAAGGCGGGUCUCUGGGCCGAUACUGACGCUGAGGAGCGAAAGCGUGGGGAGCGAACAGGA